CCUACGGGAGACAGCAGUGGGGAAUAUUGGACAAUGGGGGGAACCCUGAUCCAGCGACGCCGCGUGAGUGAAGAAGUAUUUCGGUAUGUAAAGCUCUAUCAGCAGGGAAGAAAGAAAUGACGGUACCUGACUAAGAAGCCCCGGCUAACUACGUGCCAGCAGCCGCGGUACUACGUAGGGGGAAGCGUUAACCGGAAUUACUGGGUGUAAAGGGAGCGUAGACGGCGAUGCAAGUCUGAAGUGAAAGGCGGGGGCCCAACCCCCGGACUGCUUUGGAAACUGUAUGGCUGGAGGGCAGGAGAGGUAAGUGGAAUUCCUAGUGUAGCGGUGAAAUGCGUAGAUAUUAGGAGGAACACCAGUGGCGAAGGCGGCUUACUGGACUGUAACUGACGUUGAGGCUCGAAAGCGUGGGGAGCAAACAGGAUUAGAUACCCUUGUAGUC
RNAcentral lists this ribosomal RNA (442 nucleotides) under uncultured bacterium. RNAcentral describes it as "partial 16S ribosomal RNA". It matches the Rfam family "Bacterial small subunit ribosomal RNA", at positions 338 to 795 of the family's 1533-position model. The record is from RNAcentral.